GACGAACGCUGGCGGCGUGCUUAACACAUGCAAGUCGAACGGAAAGGCCCUGCUUUUGUGGGGUGCUCGAGUGGCGAACGGGUGAGUAACACGUGAGUAACCUGCCCUUGACUUUGGGAUAACUUCAGGAAACUGGGGCUAAUACCGGAUAGGAGCUCCUGCUGCAUGGUGGGGGUUGGAAAGUUUCGGCGGUUGGGGAUGGACUCGCGGCUUAUCAGCUUGUUGGUGGGGUAGUGGCUUACCAAGGCUUUGACGGGUAGCCGGCCUGAGAGGGUGACCGGCCAAAAUGGGAAUGAGAUACGGGCCAGACUCCUACGGGAAGCAAGCGGUGGGAAAAAUGGCAAAAUGGCGGAAGGCCUAAGGAGGCACGGCGGGGGCGGGAUGACGGCCUUCGGGUUGUAAACCGCUUUCGCCUGUGACGAAGCGUGAGUGACGGUAAUGGGUAAAGAAGCACCGGCUAACUACGUG
Molecule: ribosomal RNA, 468 nt
Filed under: uncultured bacterium
Lineage: Bacteria
Description: partial 16S ribosomal RNA
Rfam family: Bacterial small subunit ribosomal RNA
Source: RNAcentral